Molecule: ribosomal RNA, 115 nt
Filed under: Cordylochernes scorpioides
Lineage: Eukaryota; Metazoa; Arthropoda; Arachnida; Pseudoscorpiones; Chernetidae
Source: RNAcentral
ACGGCCAAACCACAUUGAAAACACCGGUUCUCGUCCGAUCACCGAAGUUAAGCAAUGUCGGGCCCGGUCAGUACUUGGGAGGGUGACCACCUGGGAACACCGGGUGCCGUAGGCU